GUCCACACCGUAAACGCUGUCUACUAGCUGUGUGUGUCUUUAAGACGUGCGUAGCGAAGCUAACGCGCUAAGUAGACCGCCUGGGGAGUACGGCCGCAAGGUUAAAACUCAAAUGAAUUGACGGGGGCCCGCACAAGCGGUGGAGCAUGUGGUUUAAUUCGAUGCAACGCGAAGAACCUUACCUACACUUGACAUGCUGAGAAGUUACUAGAGAUAGUUUCGUGCCUUCGGGAACUCAGACACAGGUGCUGCAUGGCU
RNAcentral lists this ribosomal RNA (258 nucleotides) under uncultured bacterium. RNAcentral describes it as "partial 16S ribosomal RNA". It matches the Rfam family "Bacterial small subunit ribosomal RNA", at positions 793 to 1050 of the family's 1533-position model. The record is from RNAcentral.